Molecule: non-coding RNA, 79 nt
Filed under: Agrobacterium albertimagni
Lineage: Bacteria; Pseudomonadati; Pseudomonadota; Alphaproteobacteria; Hyphomicrobiales; Rhizobiaceae
Also listed under: 2 other names
Source: RNAcentral
GCCUUAUCCCGUGGUGAUUUGGCCGGUCGGCUUGCAGCCACGUUAAACAAGUGGCUAAAUAGACCGGGUUUACGAAACC